ACUGGGACUGAGACACGGCCCAGACUCCUACGGGAGGCAGCAGUAAGGAAUCUUCCACAAUGGGCGAAAGCCUGAUGGAGCAACGCCGCGUGCAGGAUGAAGGCCCUCGGGUCGUAAACUGCUUUUAUAAGUGAAGAAUAUGACGGUAACUUAUGAAUAAGGAUCGGCUAACUACGUGCCAGCAGCCGCGGUCAUACGUAGGAUCCGAGCGUUAUCCGGAGUGACUGGGCGUAAAGAGUUGCGUAGGCGGUUAGUUAAGUGAAUAGUGAAACCUGGUGGCUCAACCAUACAGACUAUUAUUCAAACUGGCUAACUCGAGAGUAGCAGAGGUACCUGGAAUUUCUGAAGUAGGGGUAAUAUCCGUAGAUAUCAGAAGGAACACCAAUGGCGUAGGCAGGGUACUGGGCUAUUUCUGACGCUAAGGCACGAAAGCGUGGGGAGCGAACCGGAUUAGAUACCCGGGUAGUCCACGCCGUAAACGAUGGAUACUAGCUGUAGGGGGUAUCGACCCCCUCUGUAGCGAAGCUAACGCGUUAAGUAUCCCGCCUGUGGAGUACGGUCGCAAGACUAAAACAUAAAGGAAUUGACGGGGACCCGCACAAGCGGUGGAUCAUGUUCUUUAAUUCGAUGCUAAACGAAGAACCUUACCAGGGUUUGACAUCCCGAGAAUUUUGCCGAAAGGCGAGAGUGCUUUAUUGAACUCGGUGACAGAUGAUGCAUGGCCGUCGUCAGCUCGUGUCGUGAGAUGUUUGGUUAAGUCCAUCAACGAGCGCAACCCUUGUGAUUAGAUGUAUUUUUCUAAUCAGACUGCCCCGGUAACGGGGAGGAAGGAGGGGAUGAUGUCAGGUCAGUAUUUCUCUUACAUCUUGGGCUAGAAACGUGAUACAAUGGCCGAUACAAUGCGCAUACGCCAACCCGCGAGGGGGAGCAAAUCGCAUCAAAGUCGGUCCCAGUUCGGAUAAGAGGCUGAAACUCGCCUCUUUGAAGUCGGAAUCGCUAGUAAUCGCAGGUCAGCAAACUGCGGUAAAAACGUUCCCGGGUCUUGUACACACCGCCCGUCAAACCAUGAAAGUGACCAACACGCGAAGUCCGAUUSGUCGGCCUAAGGUGGGGGGCAUGAUUGGGGUU
RNAcentral lists this ribosomal RNA (1128 nucleotides) under uncultured bacterium NoosaAW89. Its description in RNAcentral is "bacterial SSU rRNA". It matches the Rfam family "Bacterial small subunit ribosomal RNA", at positions 312 to 1482 of the family's 1533-position model. The record is from RNAcentral. Lineage: Bacteria; Candidatus Saccharimonadota.